This 445-nucleotide ribosomal RNA is filed under the name uncultured bacterium. RNAcentral describes it as "partial 16S ribosomal RNA". It matches the Rfam family "Bacterial small subunit ribosomal RNA", at positions 354 to 796 of the family's 1533-position model. The record is from RNAcentral.
GUGAGGAAUAUUGCGCAACGGAGGCAACUCUGACGCAGCCAUGCCGCGUGCAGGAAGAAGGCGCUACGCGUUGUAAACUGCUUUUAACCGGGAAGAAACACCAGGACGUGUCCUGGGUUGACGGUACCGGAGGAAUAAGCACCGGCUAACUUCGUGCCAGCAGCCGCGGUAAUACGAAGGGUGCAAGCGUUAUCCGGAUUCAUUGGGUUUAAAGGGUGCGUAGGCGCAGCGUUAAGUCAGUGGUGAAAUCCUGCAGCUUAACUGUAGACUUGCCAUGGAUACUGGCGCUCUUGAGUGCGCUUGAAGUGGGCGGAAUGUGCCGUGUAGCGGUGAAAUGCUUAGAUAUGGCACAGAACACCAAUUGCGAAGGCAGCUCACUAAGGCGAUACUGACGCUGAGGCACGAAAGCGUGGGGAUCGAACAGGAUUAGAAACCCGAGUAGUCC